This 73-nucleotide transfer RNA is filed under the name Thermodesulfobacteriota bacterium. RNAcentral's name for it is "tRNA-Lys". It matches the Rfam family "tRNA". From Rfam's summary of the family: Transfer RNA (tRNA) molecules are approximately 80 nucleotides in length. RNAcentral also lists the same sequence under 2 other names. The record is from RNAcentral. Lineage: Bacteria; Pseudomonadati; Thermodesulfobacteriota.
GAGCCGAUAGCUCAGUCGGUAGAGCAUCUGCCUUUUAAGCAGAGGGUCCCGGGUUCGAGCCCCGGUCGGCUCA